UAAGCUUCGGGGAGUUGCACGUAAACUUUGAUCCGAAGAUUUCCGAAUGAGGAAACUAACUUAGAGUAAUGUCUAAGUAUCAUUAAGUGAAUACAUAGCUUAAUGAGGGGAACUCAGGGAACUGAAAUAUCUAAGUACCUGAAGGAAGAGAAAGAAAUUCGAUUCCGUAAGUAGCGGCGAGCGAACGCGGAUUAGCCCAAACCAAUAAAGUUU
This 213-nucleotide ribosomal RNA is filed under the name Clostridioides difficile. RNAcentral's name for it is "partial 23S ribosomal RNA". It matches the Rfam family "Bacterial large subunit ribosomal RNA", at positions 72 to 285 of the family's 2925-position model. Lineage: Bacteria; Bacillati; Bacillota; Clostridia; Peptostreptococcales; Peptostreptococcaceae. The record is from RNAcentral.